UUCUCUAACUGGCUGGUGCGACUUAUAGUUCGGAAAAUACGGUACUGUUGAAGUAACAAAGUGAAGUACCGACACUGACCACCGUCCAGGUUCAUUCUUGACUCCACACCUUCUCCUGGAGCUUCUUCUUCUUCUUCCUCCUCUUCUUCUUGUUCCCCUGAUUUUGGAUCAACAUGUUUGAACCACAGUUUGUCGUCCAGUAGAGAGUUCUCUGAGGAGGUGGGCGGGGCUUACAGUGCCUCAUUAACAUUUAAAGACACAGAAGCCGUUAGAACAGAACAGGUGUGUGAAGAGUCCAGCCGCGAUCGAUCCUUCGUUUUGUGCAUGUUACUAACAUGUUAUUAACGUGUUACUAACACAUCGUUAGACAUUAAUGAAGCUGAAGAAGCAGAAUGUGUCCUUUAAAAAAAAAGAAAAAAAACUAGUUUUGUUUUUUGCCAUAAAGUAUCUGGAGUGAAAGUGAGACUGGGUUUAAAUGUCAGUGGUUGUUGAUGACAUCAUCAGUCGGCAGGCGACAUCUGGAGGAAGUGUUUUCUGUAACAUUUCAACAUGGACCGUUGAUGAUGCGUGAACUUUUUCCGGCUCCACCUCAGCUGUCGGAGCCUCGCGGUUCUGAUCUGAGAAGAACCUGAAGAAGUUAGAACUUUACAACCUCCUCUGAAGAUGAGUUUUAUACCCGUGCCACGAUGAGUUCAGGGCCACUCCGCGGUUGUACAGUUGUGUGAAGUGCCAGAGCCUGUAGGUGGCGACGAUGACGACCCACCGCGGCCUACAGAAAAGACGCGCUCGGAAUGUGUGUGUGUGUGUGUUGAAAUGAGUGCCAUAUGUGUGGAUGGAAAUGAGAACGGACUGUAACCACGGCGCCCCCUCCCCCAUCUGUCUGUAACACCACCUCAGACUACAGACGUCACAGUGAGGUAAAGACAGACACCAGAUCAGCCGUGAUUAAUCCGACGACUCCCGUGGCUCGGUGUCGUCCCGCAGGAAUGACGUCCAGUUUUCCUGCGUUUUUUAUCCAAGAACUAAAACUGGGCUAAAAAAAUCUGGAAAUGAAGCUCUCCUGUGGGAGGAGAGCUGAGUUCUUACAGAUGUUCAGGACUUCAUUAGACUUAAAUGUCAACGGUCCACAGCCCUGGGUGAGAGGGGGAGGGAGUGUCCUGGCUGCUCAGUGUCACUGUUGUCUUGUAUACUUGUAAUCAUAUAAGCCUGAGUUGAUCACUGAUCAAUAAAACUGUUGUACACUUGUAACUCUUCUAUGUCGAUGACGCCGUUUUAUUUUAUAACUGGAGUCUGAAUCUUUGUACGUAAACACAAGCGCCACCUACCUGUCAAUCUUGUCCUAACACUCGGAUGUUUUUUCUUCUUUAAGAUCAGACUGCGGUUGUUUUGGCUCGUAGUUUUCAGCAGGUGUCAGUGAAGAACGUCCUGAGGUAAAUCCACAGAUUAUCUUUCUUCAGUGGGAUGUAAGGUUUGGUGGUGGACGUUCAGAAACAUUUACACUUCGUCACCGAGUUCUUCCUGCACCGUGGUGUUCCUUUGGAGGAUUAGUUAAUCAAUAAAACAAUAAAGACAAACUGGUAAAAUAUUCCUGAGGCAGAUUGACAGAUCUGUCUCUCCUCCAUGUGUCAGUCUGCUCUUCUUCUUCUUCUUCAGUGGUGUUUUCAUCAGAGAAUUUCUUCUCCAGACUGAAGUCCAGAUGGUUCUGGAUCCAAACCUGUUGAUGAGCUUCAAUCGUCUGAACAUCUUCCCAUUCAGAAUAUGAAGAUGGAAUGAACAAUGUCACCCCAAGAAUCUGGAACGCCAUAGAUGUGACGAUGAAAAUAAACAAUCUUCAGAGCAGGGAUGCACAUUAAGUAAAACCCCUGACUCUGUGCAUCCCUGCCCAGGACUGAUGGGAAAUAAAGAUCCAGUCCAUCGACUCUCCUGAUUGGUGCUGCCAUCUUUUCUGGAAUGAUAUUCAGUUUUCGUGGUCGACCUGAGGCUCGUCCUACGGAGCUGCAUCUCCACCCUCUCGACUACGCCGUGAAAUCGUUUUGUAAACUUGCCCUGGUGCCAACUUCAACAACUCCACCUGGACAUCGGUGAGUCAGUCUCUCUUCUCUCCUGAACUUCCUUUGUUUUAGUUGUGCAGGCUCCUGUGACGGUGUGUGUGUGUGCGCAAACAGACUGCAGG
Cynoglossus semilaevis (tongue sole) is the source of this 2173-nucleotide long non-coding RNA. RefSeq lists it as uncharacterized. Lineage: Eukaryota; Metazoa; Chordata; Actinopteri; Pleuronectiformes; Cynoglossidae. The record is from RefSeq and is a predicted model, not a curated record. The transcript is spliced from 4 exons.